RNAcentral lists this ribosomal RNA (362 nucleotides) under uncultured bacterium. RNAcentral describes it as "bacterial SSU rRNA". It matches the Rfam family "Bacterial small subunit ribosomal RNA", at positions 8 to 350 of the family's 1533-position model. The record is from RNAcentral.
AGAGUUUGAUCCUGGCUCAGGAUGAACGCUGGCGGCGUGCUUAACACAUGCAAGUCGAACGAAGCAUUUAAGACAGAUUACUUCGGUUUGAAGUCUUUUAUGACUGAGUGGCGGACGGGUGAGUAACGCGUGGGUAACCUGCCUCAUACAGGGGGAUAGCAGCUGGAAACGGCUGGUAAUACCGCAUAAGCGCACAGUACCACAUGGUACAGUGUGAAAAACUCCGGUGGUAUGAGAUGGACCCGCGUCUGAUUAGGCUUGUUGGCGGGGUAACGGCCACCAAGGCGACGAUCAGUAGGGGUUCUGAGAGGAAGGUCCCCCACAUUGGAACUGAGACACGGUCCAAACUCCUACGGGAGGCA